ACUCUGUUGGAUGCAGCUUGGUUUUGGUCUUGUCCGAGGAUAUAUGUCAUGCAGACGGGAGCAGACGGGGAUGGAACCUAAACCUUCUGUUUAAUGUCCUCUAAAUCACUGUGGUCAGUUGUGCUGUACAGACUAUGCAUGCAUGUACCUGUGUUAAAAAUACUCUGUAUACUCUGCUGACUGCUUCAGUAUGAAAAGCAGUGAUGGAUGUUCCAACAAGAUCAUCUUCUGUGUUUUUGUUCCUCCUGCGAGUCACGUACAAUGUUUGUGUCACGAUCCUGGGUCUUAGGACCCAGUGUUUUGAGUUCUAGUUCAUUUUGAUGUUUAUAGUAUGUUUAGCUCAUUAGGCCUCCUAUGUUGAUUUGCUUAUUAGUUCCCCCUUGUGUUUCAACCCAUGUUAAGUCUCCCCUGCCCUUCAUGUCUCUCUGUGCCCCCUCUGUUCUGUUUAUGGUGUGUCUUUGCAUGUUUGAGUUUCUUGUUUUCUGUCACCCUG
This is a long non-coding RNA of Astatotilapia calliptera (eastern happy), 493 nucleotides long. The record is from Ensembl. Lineage: Eukaryota; Metazoa; Chordata; Actinopteri; Cichliformes; Cichlidae.